RNAcentral lists this ribosomal RNA (637 nucleotides) under uncultured archaeon. Its description in RNAcentral is "bacterial SSU rRNA". It matches the Rfam family "Archaeal small subunit ribosomal RNA", at positions 1 to 647 of the family's 1478-position model. The record is from RNAcentral.
UUCCGGUUGAUCCUGCCGGAGGCUACUGCUAUCGGGAUUCGAUUAAGCCAUGCGAGUCGAGAGGGUUCGGCCCUCGGCUGACUGCUCAGUAACACGUGGAUAACUUGCCCUCAGGUAGGGGAUAAUCUCGGGAAACUGAGGAUAAUACCCUAUAGACAUCCUUUGCUGGAAUGCUUGGAUGUUCAAAGGUAACGCCUGAGGAUAGGUCUGCGGCCUAUCAGGUUGUAGUGGGUGUAAUGGACCCACUAGCCCGCGACGGGUACGGGCCUUGAAAGAGGUAGCCCGGAGAUGGACUCUGAGACACGAGUCCAGGCCCUACGGGGCGCAGCAGGCGCGAAAACUUCGCAAUGCGGGAAACCGUGACGAGGGAAUCCCGAGUGCUCAUACAAUGUAUGGGCUUUUCUUAUGUGUAAAUAGCAUGAGGAAUAAGGGCUGGGUAAGACCGGUGCCAGCCGCCGCGGUAAUACCGGCAGCUCUAGUGGUAGCCACUUUUAUUGGGCCUAAAGCGUCCGUAGCCGGUCAGGUAAAUCCUUGGGUAAAUCGUACAGCUUAACUGUGCGGCUUCCGGGGAGACUGCCUGACUUGGGACCGGGAGAGGUUGGAGGUACUCCUGGGGUAGGGGUGAAAUCCUGUAAUC